AGGAUUAUAGUUAAUUAUAACAUUUGAUUUGCAUUCAAAAAGUAUUGACAAAAUCAGUUAAUCUUA
This 66-nucleotide transfer RNA is filed under the name Perisphaerus sp. 3 ZQW-2023b. RNAcentral describes it as "tRNA-Ala". It matches the Rfam family "tRNA". Rfam says of the family: Transfer RNA (tRNA) molecules are approximately 80 nucleotides in length. Their secondary structure includes four short double-helical elements and three loops (D, anti-codon, and T loops). Lineage: Eukaryota; Metazoa; Arthropoda; Insecta; Blattodea; Blaberidae. The record is from RNAcentral.